GACGAACGCUGGCGGCGUGCUUAACACAUGCAAGUCGAACGAAGAGCGAUGGAAGCUUGCUUCUAUCAAUCUUAGUGGCGCACGGGUGAGUAACGCGUAAUCAACCUGCCCUUCAGAGGGGGACAACAGUUGGAAACGACUGCUAAUACCGCAUACGAUCUAAUCUCGGCAUCGAGGAUAGAUGAAAGGUGGCCUCUACAUGUAAGCUAUCACUGAAGGAGGGGAUUGCGUCUGAUUAGCUAGUUGGAGGGGUAACGGCCCACCAAGGCGAUGAUCAGUAGCCGGUCUGAGAGGAUGAACGGCCACAUUGGGACUGAGACACGGCCCAGACUCCUACGGGAGGCAGCAGUGGGGAAUCUUCCGCAAUGGACGAAAGUCUGACGGAGCAACGCCGCGUGAGUGAUGACGGCCUUCGGGUUGUAAAGCUCUGCUAAUCGGGACGAAAGGCCUUCUUGCGAAUAGUGAGAAGGAUUGACGGUACCGGAAUAGAAAGCCACGGCUAACUACGUG
RNAcentral lists this ribosomal RNA (510 nucleotides) under uncultured bacterium. RNAcentral describes it as "partial 16S ribosomal RNA". It matches the Rfam family "Bacterial small subunit ribosomal RNA", at positions 28 to 507 of the family's 1533-position model. The record is from RNAcentral.